This 253-nucleotide ribosomal RNA is filed under the name uncultured bacterium. Its description in RNAcentral is "partial 16S ribosomal RNA". It matches the Rfam family "Bacterial small subunit ribosomal RNA", at positions 524 to 776 of the family's 1533-position model. The record is from RNAcentral.
UACGUAGGGACCAAGCGUUGUUCGGAUUUACUGGGCGUAAAGGGUGCGUAGGCGGUCGGGUAAGUCUGAUGUGAAAUCUCACAGCUUAACUGUGAAACUGCAUUGGAUACUAUCCGGCUAGAGGAAUGGAGGGGAGACUGGAAUACUUGGUGUAGCAGUGAAAUGCGUAGAUAUCAAGUGGAACACCAGUGGCGAAGGCGAGUCUCUGGACAUUUCCUGACGCUGAGGCACGAAAGCCAGGGGAGCAAACGGG